UUGAAUUGUCAAUUUUAUCUUUAAAAAUAUAUAUUUCUUUAAAAGAAACCCACUCACCUCUCCUCUCCCCCCAAAUUUUCAAACACAAUUUCUUCCUCUUCAUAAACUCAACCCCACACUCCAUCCAUCAAGAAAGAAGUAAGCCCAGACUUGCAAGAAUCAACGGUCCUUGUGCCAUUCCUCUUCAUGGUGGUCUAGGGCUUGUUCAGAAGUUGAGGCCAAGAUUUGCGCAGCAGGUUUUGGAUAUUUCCUCGAUGCUAUCACGAUGAAAGAAGAUCAUCGUCAUGAGUAAGGAUCUGAUUAAAUUUAGUGCUCCAGCAGAAUUAUUCUGGGAAACCACCAAUAACUUUCACUUUUUAAAUGUAGGCAAGGUAACUUUGUACCUGAUGACUUCACACUAAUCUUUGGCAUCAUGGCAGUCAAUCUUGCAAAAUUAAUAGUCCUAGUUAUUUUGGUUUUAGGGUCGCGUUUUGUUUUAUUAAGUUAUAUGUAAUGUCUUAUUAGAGAAGUGUCAAAGGAGGAGAUUACUAGGACUUAGGUUGUGCUGCAAAAUUCAUGUGCCAAAAUAGGUGCUAAUGAGGGUUGUAAUCAUUGCAAAAUAAGUUAGGUCAAUUUUAAAAUUAGGAAUUGCUGAAGAUCUCAAGUUUUAGAUGGUUCCCUCGAGCUAGCUCGGGACUCACUUAAAAAAAAACUAGGCAGAGACUUUGCUCAACUUUUGCUCAAGUGAGAUUACCAAUUUUGCAAAUUGAUUUAACCUAAACUUUUACCUACCUAUAAAUACAUACCCUUUGAUGAACGACUUUCAAAAGAGAGGAUGUUGUACAAGGAGCAUUCUAAGAAGCCUUCUUGCUCUGAGCCUAAAUGGAGAAAAUACUUCUCCCAUUCUUUUCACAUCGUGAACCUAAACUGAUUUCCAUCCAAAGAACAGAAAUUCUUAACCUUUGUCAGUGAGUUCACUAUCAUACCGAAGUUUUGGAUUGGUGCAAAUGAGUUCAUUCAUGGGGGAGAUUCUAAUCUGCCGUUGGAGACAAAUGGGUCAUUUGCUUGGUUACACAUCAAUUCUAAGUUUGCAAAGUUUUGUAAGUAUAGGCUAGUAGUAAGAAUCGUUAUCUUAUAGUGAAACUUCAUGUGGGAUUGGUUAUCCGAAGUGGAUUUUCUUUUAAAAGUUCUACAAAAGUUUUCCACUCA
Quercus robur (English oak) is the source of this 1188-nucleotide long non-coding RNA. RefSeq lists it as uncharacterized. NCBI's taxonomy places the organism in Eukaryota, Viridiplantae, Streptophyta, Magnoliopsida, Fagales, Fagaceae. The transcript is spliced from 2 exons. The record is from RefSeq and is a predicted model, not a curated record.